This 495-nucleotide ribosomal RNA is filed under the name uncultured bacterium. RNAcentral describes it as "partial 16S ribosomal RNA". It matches the Rfam family "Bacterial small subunit ribosomal RNA", at positions 28 to 507 of the family's 1533-position model. The record is from RNAcentral.
GAUGAACGCUGGCGGCGUGCCUAAUACAUGCAAGUAGAACGCUGAAGGAGGAGCUUGCUCUUCUGGAUGAGUUGCGAACGGGUGAGUAACGCGUAGGUAACCUGCCUGGUAGCGGGGGAUAACUAUUGGAAACGAUAGCUAAUACCGCAUGACAACAGUUAUUGCAUGAUAACUGUUUAAAAGGGGCAACUGCUCCACUACCAGAUGGACCUGCGUUGUAUUAGCUAGUUGGUGAGGUAACGGCUCACCAAGGCGACGAUACAUAGCCGACCUGAGAGGGUGGUCGGCCAAACUGGGAAUGAGACACGGCCCAGACUCCUACGGGAGGCAGCAGUAGGGAAUCUUCGGCAAUGGACGGAAGUCUGACCGAGCAACGCCGCGUGAGUGAAGGAGGUUUUCGGAUCGGAAAGCUCUGUUGUAAGGGAAGAACGAGUGUGAGAGUGGAAAGUUCACACUGUGACGGUAUCUUACCAGAAAGGGACGGCUAACUACGUG